GAUCCUCACCUAGCAUAGCAGGCUAACCAUGUUCUCACACUGAUCCUCACAUAGCAUAGCAAGCUAACCAUGUUCUCACACUGAUCCCAACCAUGGUCUCACACUGAUCCUCACCCAGCCAUACAUGAAUAUGUAAAAAUGGACAACCAGCAGCAUUCCAGUUCGCUGGGCAUUACCUCACUAGCAUAGAGGUGGUUAGAUAAGGACACUACCAUAGAGGUGGUUAGAUAAGGACACUACCAUAGAGGUGGUUAGAUACAGGACAAUACCAUAGAGGUGGUUAGAUAAGGAUAAUAGCAUAGUGGUUACAUAAGGAUACUAGCAUAGAGGUGGUUAGAUACAGGACACUAGCAUAGAGGUGGUUAGAUACAGGACACUAGCAUAGAGGUGGUUAGAUACAGGACAAUACCAUAGAGGUGGUUAGAUACAGGACACUACCAUAGAGGUGGUUAGAUAUGGACAAUAGCAUAGAGGUGGUUAGAUACAGGACACUAGCAUUGAGGUGGUUAGAUACAGGACACUAGCAUAGAGGUGGUUAGAUACAGGACACUAGCAUAGAGGUGGUUAGAUACAGGACACUAGCAUAGAGGUGGUUAGA
Oncorhynchus mykiss (rainbow trout) is the source of this 598-nucleotide non-coding RNA. NCBI's taxonomy places the organism in Eukaryota, Metazoa, Chordata, Actinopteri, Salmoniformes, Salmonidae. The record is from RefSeq and is a predicted model, not a curated record.